GGCCUACCAUGGUGGUAACGGGUAACGGGGUGUUAGGGCACGACACCGGAGAGGGAGCCUGAGAAACGGCUACCACAUCCAAGGAUGGCAGCAGGCGCGCAAAUUACCCAAUCCCGACACGGGGAGGUAGUGACAAUAAAUAACAAUACGGGGUUCUUUCGGAUCUCGUAAUUGGAAUGAGUACAAUUUAAAUCUCUUAACGAGGAACAAUUGGAGGGCAAGUCUGGUGCCAGCAGCCGCGGUAAUUCCAGCUCCAAUAGCGUAUAUUAAAGUUGUUGCAGUUAAAAAGCUCGUAGUUGAAUUUCGGGGUUAGUAGGCUGGUCAUGCCACCGGUAUGUACUGGUCUUACUGAUUCCUCCUUCCUGAUGAACUGUAAUGCCAUUAAUUUGGUGUUGCAGGGAAUCUGGACUGUUACUUUGAAAAAAUUAGAGUGUUUAAAGCAGGCUAACGCUUGAAUACAUUAGCAUGGAAUAAUGAAAUAGGACGUUCGAUCCUAUUUUGUUGGUUUCUAGGAUUGACGUAAUGAUUAAUAGGGAUAGUUGGGGGCAUUAGUAUUCAAUUGUCAGAGGUGAAAUUCUUGGAUUUAUUGAAGACUAACUACUGCGAAAGCAUUUGCCAAGGAUGUUUUCAUUAAUCAAGAACGAAAGUUAGGGGAUCGAAGACGAUCAGAUACCGUCGUAGUCUUAACCAUAAACUAUGCCGACUAGGGAUCGGAUGAUGUUAAUUUUUUAAUGACUCAUUCGGCGCCUUACG
This 753-nucleotide ribosomal RNA is filed under the name uncultured Glomeromycotina. RNAcentral's name for it is "SSU rRNA". It matches the Rfam family "Eukaryotic small subunit ribosomal RNA", at positions 338 to 1092 of the family's 1831-position model. The record is from RNAcentral. Lineage: Eukaryota; Fungi; Glomeromycota.